RNAcentral lists this ribosomal RNA (376 nucleotides) under uncultured organism. RNAcentral's name for it is "partial 16S ribosomal RNA". It matches the Rfam family "Bacterial small subunit ribosomal RNA", at positions 527 to 896 of the family's 1533-position model. The record is from RNAcentral.
GUAGGUGGCAAGCGUUGUCCGGAAUUAUUGGGCGUAAAGCGCGCGCAGGCGGUUCUUUAAGUCUGAUGUGAAAGCCCACGGCUCAACCGUGGAGGGUCAUUGGAAACUGGAGAACUUGAGUACAGAAGAGGAAAGCGGAAUUCCACGUGUAGCGGUGAAAUGCGUAGAGAUGUGGAGGAACACCAGUGGCGAAGGCGGCUUUCUGGUCUGUAACUGACGCUGAGGCGCGAAAGCGUGGGGAGCAAACAGGAUUAGAUACCCUGGUAGUCCACGCCGUAAACGAUGAGUGCUAAGUCGUUAGGGGGGUUUUCCGCCCCCCUUAGUGCUGCAGCUAACGCAUUAAGCACUCCGCCCUGGGAGUACGGCCGCAAGGCUG